GGGUUGUGAGGUUAAGCGACUAAGCGUACACGGUGGAUGCCCUGGCAGUCAGAGGCGAUGAAGGGCGUGCUAAUCUGCGAUAAGCGCCGGUAAGGUGAUAUGAACCGUUAUAACCGGCGAUUUCCGAAUGGGGAAACCCAGUGUGAUUCGUCACACUAUCAUUAACUGAAUCCAUAGGUUAAUGAGGCGAACCGGGGGAACUGAAACAUCUAAGUACCCCGAGGAAAAGAAAUCAACCGAGAUUCCCCCAGUAGCGGCGAGCGAACGGGGAGGAGCCCAGAGCCUGAAUCAGCAUGUGUGUUAGUGGAAGCGUCUGGAAAGGCGCGCGAUACAGGGUGACAGCCCCGUACACAAAAGCGCAUGUGCUGUGAGCUCGAUGAGUAGGGCGGGACACGUGGUAUCCUGUCUGAAUAUGGGGGGACCAUCCUCCAAGGCUAAAUACUCCUGACUGACCGAUAGUGAACCAGUACCGUGAGGGAAAGGCGAAAAGAACCCCGGCGAGGGGAGUGAAAAAGAACCUGAAACCGUGUACGUACAAGCAGUGGGAGCACAGGUUUACCUGUGUGACUGCGUACCUUUUGUAUAAUGGGUCAGCGACUUAUAUUCUGUAGCAAGGUUAACCGUAUAGGGGAGCCGGAGGGAAACCGAGUCUUAAUUGGGCGUUAAGUUGCAGGGUAUAGACCCGAAACCCGGUGAUCUAGCCAUGGGCAGGUUGAAGGUUGGGUAACACUAACUGGAGGACCGAACCGAC
RNAcentral lists this ribosomal RNA (751 nucleotides) under Salmonella enterica subsp. enterica serovar Typhimurium. RNAcentral describes it as "partial 23S ribosomal RNA". It matches the Rfam family "Bacterial large subunit ribosomal RNA", at positions 1 to 783 of the family's 2925-position model. Lineage: Bacteria; Pseudomonadati; Pseudomonadota; Gammaproteobacteria; Enterobacterales; Enterobacteriaceae. The record is from RNAcentral.